UUGAGGUCAGAAAUCGAAGGUUCUUUUUGUUGCGAACUAUGUUGUUGACUUAUUCUUUUCAUUAUUGAGGCGAAAUUAUAUUCUUCCGAUUGUUUAUUGAUUGGAAGUGGUUUUGCCUUAUUUUUUGUUAAUGAAAUAAAUUGAGUAAUGACAGAUCUCUUUUCAUUCGGAUCAAAAAUCUUGUCAAUAAUGUCCAAUAUGAAAUUAUCUUCCUGUGCGAG
RNAcentral lists this long non-coding RNA (221 nucleotides) under Amborella trichopoda. RNAcentral describes it as "long non-coding RNA (ATRI_LNC003951)". Lineage: Eukaryota; Viridiplantae; Streptophyta; Magnoliopsida; Amborellales; Amborellaceae. The record is from RNAcentral.